Molecule: long non-coding RNA, 5632 nt
Organism: Hemicordylus capensis (graceful crag lizard)
Lineage: Eukaryota; Metazoa; Chordata; Lepidosauria; Squamata; Cordylidae
Exons: 3
Source: RefSeq, a predicted model, not a curated record
AGCCCCAAACCCUCCAUGCUUCGCUCCCUGCUGUUGAUGAAGAGCAGAGCCAAGUAAGACCUUCACGAGAUGGGGGAGCGCUUGACCGGCGGAACUCCUUGCCAGGAGAGCACCACCUAGCAGCAGCAGCAGCAGCAGCACAGCGGCCCAAGGGGCGGGCAAAGCUGCUGGGGCGGUUGUGGAGUGGAGUCGUCGCCCUUUGCAAGGCCCCCAAAGGUACCAGGAAAAGCCGCUUCCAGGCCCACCCACCUCCCCCGGGAAGAAGCGCUGCCGCUCUAGGACGCCCCUCCGCGACCCCUUCCCUGAGCAUCUGGGGGGGGAGGGAGGGGAGGACGAAGCCAGCAGCGCCUCAGGGAACCCUGCAGGGAAGAGGGGGCCGCGGAGGGGGCGCAGGCCAGGGGGCCGGUCGCCACGGCGGCAGCCCAGAGCCGGAAGCCACAGCGGGGUCCAGGCAGGGUUGCUUUCUGGAGGGAGCCGCUCCUCCGCCUGCCGCCUGUUGCGCAUGCUCAGUAGCCAGAGUCCACGAGACGACUCCUGCAGCCCAGGCGAGUCAAAACCUGGCCAGACAUCCAUGCUGCCAGGCUAUCCAAAAGGGCACGGAGGCUUCAGGGCGGGCCACUGGGCGUGCGCAGCCGCCGGUACAGACAUGCGCAGAGACGCAAAGCCUCGGCGGGGGAAUUCUGGCGGGCUUUCUGCGCUCCUGCCCGCGCGCCCCUGAGAGCCGACCCACUCCUCUGAUUGGUUGGCGGGGUGACAGGCGCAUCACUGACUGGCGAGCAGCUGGACAGCGGGCUCCGCCUCCCGCAGCUGAAGCUCGCGACGCCUCCAGCCACGUUUGACUGAGAAAUAAUUGGAACACCUGAGGCGGCAAGAGCCGCAGCAGGAGGAAGACCAGCAGGGCCGAGAAGGAAGGGUUCUCCUCAGGGAACUAGGGGGCUUCACGCCCCACACUGCAGCAGGAGGGCCAGGGCUGGGGAGGAGAGGCCCUCCUCAGGGAACUAGGGGGCUUCACGCCCCACAUUGCCCCUACUCAGCUGCUGAGGAAGACCAGCCACAAGCCUCUAAGGGGCAGAGAAAUGCUGUGAGGGAAGGCUGUCUCCAGGACAGGGCAAGGAAGGGCUUUAUGCCCAGCCUUGGCCUUUACCUCAACAAUAAUAGGAAUAGUUUCUGAGGGAAGGCUGUCUUCAGGACAGUGCAAAAAAGGGCUCUAUGCCCAGCCUUGGACCUUGCCUCAACAAUAAUAGGAAUAGUUUCUGAGGGAAGGCUGUCUCCAGGACAGGGCAAGGAAGGGCUUUAUGCCCAGCCUUGGCCUUUACCUCAACAAUAAUAGGAAUAGUUUCUGAGGGAAGGCUGUCUUCAGGACAGUGCAAAAAAGGGCUCUAUGCCCAGCCUUGGACCUUGCCUCAACAAUAAUAGGAAUAGUUUCUGAGGGAAGGCUGUCUUCAGGACAGUGCAAAAAAGGGCUUUAUGCCCAGCCUUGGACUUUGCCUCAACAAUAAUAGGAAUAGUUUCUGAGGGAAGGCUGUCUUCAGGACAGUGCAAAAAAGGGCUCUAUGCCCAGCCUUGGACCUUGCCUCAACAAUAAUAGGAAUAGUUUCUGAGGGAAGGCUGUCUUCAGGACAGUGCAAGGAAGGGCUUUAUGCCCAGCCUUGGCCUUUACCUCAACAAUAAUGGGAAUAGUUUCUGAGGGAAGGCUGUCUUCAGGACAGUGCAAAAAAGGGCUCUAUGCCCAGCCUUGGACCUUGCCUCAACAAUAAUAGGAAUAGUUUCUGAGGGAAGGCUGUCUUCAGGACAGUGCAAAAAAGGGCUUUAUGCCCAGCCUUGGACUUUGCCUCAACAAUAAUAGGAAUAGUUUCUGAGGGAAGGCUGUCUUCAGGACAGUGCAAAAAAGGGCUCUAUGCCCAGCCUUGGACCUUGCCUCAACAAUAAUAGGAAUAGUUUCUGAGGGAAGGCUGUCUUCAGGACAGUGCAAGGAAGGGCUUUAUGCCCAGCCUUGGCCUUUACCUCAACAAUAAUGGGAAUAGUUUCUGAGGGAAGGCUGUCUUCAGGACAGUGCAAAAAAGGGCUUUAUGCCCAGCCUUGGACUUUGCCUCAACAAUAAUAGGAAUAGUUUCUGAGGGAAGGCUGUCUUCAGGACAGUGCAAGGAAGGGCUUUAUGCCCAGCCUUGGCCUUUACCUCAACAAUAAUGGGAAUAGUUUCUGAGGGAAGGCUGUCUUCAGGACAGUGCAAAAAAGGGCUCUAUGCCCAGCCUUGGACUUUGCCUCAACAAUAAUAGGAAUAGUUUCUGAGGGAAGGCUGUCUUCAGGACAGUGCAAAAAAGGGCUUUAUGCCCAGCCUUGGACUUUGCCUCAACAAUAAUAGGAAUAGUUUCUGAGGGAAGGCUGUCUUCAGGACAGUGCAAAAAAGGGCUUUAUGCCCAGCCUUGGACUUUGCCUCAACAAUAAUAGGAAUAGUUUCUGAGGGAAGGCUGUCUUCAGGACAGUGCAAGGAAGGGCUUUAUGCCCAGCCUUGGCCUUUACCUCAACAAUAAUAGGAAUAGUUUCUGAGGGAAGGCUGUCUUCAGGACAGUGCAAAAAAGGGCUUUAUGCCCAGCCUUGGACUUUGCCUCAACAAUAAUAGGAAUAGUUUCUGAGGGAAGGCUGUCUUCAGGACAGUGCAAAAAAGGGCUUUAUGCCCAGCCUUGGACUUUGCCUCAACAAUAAUAGGAAUAGUUUCUGAGGGAAGGCUGUCUUCAGGACAGUGCAAGGAAGGGCUUUAUGCCCAGCCUUGGCCUUUACCUCAACAAUAAUAGGAAUAGUUUCUGAGGGAAGGCUGUCUUCAGGACAGUGCAAAAAAGGGCUUUAUGCCCAGCCUUGGACUUUGCCUCAACAAUAAUAGGAAUAGUUUCUGAGGGAAGGCUGUCUUCAGGACAGUGCAAGGAAGGGCUUUAUGCCCAGCCUUGGCCUUUACCUCAACAAUAAUAGGAAUAGUUUCUGAGGGAAGGCUGUCUUCAGGACAGUGCAAAAAAGGGCUUUAUGCCCAGCCUUGGACUUUGCCUCAACAAUAAUAGGAAUAGUUUCUGAGGGAAGGCUGUCUUCAGGACAGUGCAAAAAAGGGCUUUAUGCCCAGCCUUGGACUUUGCCUCAACAAUAAUAGGAAUAGUUUCUGAGGGAAGGCUGUCUUCAGGACAGUGCAAAAAAGGGCUUUAUGCCCAGCCUUGGCCUUUACCUCAACAAUAAUAGGAAUAGUUUCUGAGGGAAGGCUGUCUUCAGGACAGUGCAAGGAAGGGCUUUAUGCCCAGCCUUGGACUUUGCCUCAACAAUAAUAGGAAUAGUUUCUGAGGGAAGGCUGUCUUCAGGACAGUGCAAAAAAGGGCUUUAUGCCCAGCCUUGGCCUUUACCUCAACAAUAAUAGGAAUAGUUUCUGAGGGAAGGCUGUCUUCAGGACAGUGCAAAAAAGGGCUUUAUGCCCAGCCUUGGCCUUUACCUCAACAAUAAUAGGAAUAGUUUCUGAGGGAAGGCUGUCUUCAGGACAGUGCAAAGAAGGGCUUUAUGCCCAGCCUUGGACUUUACCUCAACAAUAAUAGGAAUAGUUUCUGAGGGAAGGCUGUCUCCAGGACAGGGCAAGGAAGGGCUCUAUGCCCAGCCUUGGCUUUUACCUCACCAAAAUAAGGAUAAUAAAUCUCUGUUGCUUCAAAAAAAGGAGGAGGAAACCACUCAAGCCAUGCUACUUAGCCAGGAUAUGGCUUUUUAAAAGAAUACUUUGUGGGAGAGUGGUGGGAAAACGGUCUUCAAGACCCCUGCCAAAAGCCAGUUUCUGAGGGGAAGUGAAGUUUCUGAGUGGGGAGUUCAUCUCCCUGCUUUGGCUUCAUCUUGUGCAAUAAAUAAAUAAAUAAAUCAGAGGGGAAAGGAAGUUUCUGAGUGGGGAGUUCAUCUCUCUGCUUUGGCUUCAUCUUGCCAAAAUAACUCAAACCCCUUCUGUGGAUGCUGCAGCCGUGCUGACGUGUGCAAAAGCCCGGCCACCUCACUGCCCACAUUUGUAGCAUUUGUCUGCAGAGGGCAACACGCGACAGAUUCUCCCCGUCCUCAGAACACUGGGGCGCCACAGUCUUCUGCAUCACGGUGAAAAUCUGUCCACUCUUAGAGCGUUCUUGCUCUGUGCAGACAAAUGCUAGAACUAUGGACCGCGUAGGGCAGGACUUCUGAGCGCAACGGCACAGGGGCUGUAGCAGGAAAUUCCCUGAGGCCAGGGGCUGCUGUGCAACUACAGACUGGCCCUUUUAGUCUGAGAAAACUGGGUGCGACUUGAGGCUGUCCAAAGAAACCUGAGGCUCCUUUAUGCUCCCGACAGCUGUGUAUGGCAGCAUAAUUCCUAAGAGAGUGGCUGGCUUGAAUGGAACACCCUCCCUGCGCAUUAAAAGGCUUAGGCUUCUAGAUACUCGGAACACUUUUCUGAGGCAGCAUAAUCUCUAAUUUUCAGGCAGGCCUGUAUGGAACAUGCUUCAGGCUUCUUAAUUCUCUCAAGAGAAGAGAGGGUUCUCUUUAUAUUCUCUCAAAUUCUUUUUAAUGAGUUAUAUCUUUUCAUAUUUGUGAAUGCCAUAGAGCUAUCUGGAUGAGGGGGUGAAUAAAUAAAACAGCUGUGGGAGUCAGCAUAAUCUCUAAAAUGGGAGCUGGCUUCUAUGUAUGAUAGAAGCACCAGGAUGAUUUAUAACUGCCAACUUUAUAGGGAAGGAUAAUCUCAAAUUUAGCACCUAUCUUUAACUGAACAUUUUUAAUGUGUUCUAUCCCCACAAUAUCGCUUGGAGAACAAUUUAGCAAAAAGAAACGGAGUUGGUGCAUGUGUCCCUACGACCCACGGACCGGAGUGCAGCUCUUGGAGCAUUUGCUCCUCCCCAGGGGCCAACGUGGCAGAUUUCAAGAAACAACCGACAGAGGCGACAUCACAGAAGCCCAGAAGAUGUGAAAGGAGCCAACGACGCAGACACACAAGGCAAGCCAAUCCACAACCCAGGGGCUGCGUAGAAGCUUCAGGCUUCUCUCUUGUCCCAAACAUCAUCAUCAUCAUCAUCAUCAUCAUCACACACUUUAUAUGUGAGCCACCCUGUAACAAAUAGUCCUCUGGGGAGCUCACAACACAACAUUGAAAAACGUCCUAGAAAAGCACAUACAACACCACAAACACAUCACAACACGAAACGGCAGCAUCUCUAAAAUGGUGGCUGCCUUGAAUGGAAGAGGCUUCAUGCCUCUUCAAGCAGCUUUGGGGGAACUGCCAAGAACAGACACAAUACCAUGUACACGUUGUAUUCUGCCAUUUAGAGAACACACUUCACGCGUGUUGGGAGCUUCAAGCUUCUUUAGUCCUGCAUGCUAUUCUUGGGCUUCAUACACUCUAGGAAAGUAGCUGCCUUGAAUGUAAGAAGCUUCAUGCCUCUUGCAUUGUGUCCCCACGAAAACCCUGCGUGGCAAACCGAGCCAGAAGAAACAGAGUCGGCGCAUGUGUCCCUACAUCCUCCAGGCCGGAGUGCAGAUCUUGGAGCAUUUGUUCCUCCCCAGGGGCCAACGUGGCAGAUUUCAAGAAACAACCGACAGAGGCGACAUCACAGAAGCCCAGAAGACGUGAAAGGAGCCAACGACGCAGACACACAAGGCA